GACGAACGCUGGCGGCGUGCUUAACACAUGCAAGUCGAACGGUAAGGCCUUUCGGGGUACACGAGUGGCGAACGGGUGAGUAACACGUGGGUGUUCUUCCCUGCACUUCGGGAUAAGCCCGGGCAACUGGGUCUAAUACCGGAUAGGACUGCGCGGUGCAUGCCGUGUGGUGGACAGAUUUAUCGGUGCAGGAUGGGCCCGCGGCCUAUCAGCUUGUUGGUGGGGUAAUGGCCUACCAAGGCGACGACGGGUAGCCGGCCUGAGAGGGGGACCGGCCACACUGGGACUGAGAGACGGCCCAGACGCCUACGGGAGGCAGCAGUGGGGAAUAUUGCACAAUGGGCGCAAGCCUGAUGCAGCGACGCCGCGUGAGGGAUGACGGCCUUCGGGUUGUAAACCUCUUUCAGCAGGGACGAAGCGUGAGUGACGGUACCUGAAGAAGAAGCACCGGCCAACUACGUG
This 462-nucleotide ribosomal RNA is filed under the name uncultured bacterium. Its description in RNAcentral is "partial 16S ribosomal RNA". It matches the Rfam family "Bacterial small subunit ribosomal RNA", at positions 28 to 507 of the family's 1533-position model. The record is from RNAcentral.